This 482-nucleotide ribosomal RNA is filed under the name uncultured bacterium. Its description in RNAcentral is "partial 16S ribosomal RNA". It matches the Rfam family "Bacterial small subunit ribosomal RNA", at positions 30 to 507 of the family's 1533-position model. The record is from RNAcentral.
AUUGAACGCUGGCGGCAUGCCUUACACAUGCAAGUCGAACGGUAACGGGCCUUCGGGUGCCGACGAGUGGCGAACGGGCGAGUAAUACAUCGGAACGUGCCCGAUCGUGGGGGAUAACGAGGCGAAAGCUUUGCUAAUACUGCAUACGAUCUACGGAUGAAAGCAGGGGACCGCAAGGCCUUGCGCGGACGGAGCGGCCGAUGGCAGAUUAGGUAGUUGGUGGGAUAAAAGCUUACCAAGCCGACGAUCUGUAGCUGGUCUGAGAGGAUGAUCAGCCACACUGGGACUGAGACACGGCCCAGACUCCUACGGGAGGCAGCAGUGGGGAAUUUUGGACAAUGGGCGCAAGCCUGAUCCAGCCAUGCCGCGUGCAGGAUGAAGGCCUUCGGGUUGUAAACUGCUUUUGUACGGAACGAAAAGCCUUCUUUUAAUACAGGAGGGUCAUGACGGUACCGGAAGAAUAAGCACCGGCUAACUACGUG